UGUGUGUAUGUGUGAGUGAAAGCAUGAGCAGCAGAAGAAGCAGACUGGCAGGAGAGAGGAGGAAGGAAGGAAGGAAGGAAGGAAGGAAGGAAGGAAGGAAGGAAGGAAGCAAGCAAGCAAGCUACAGAAGAUGAAGGAGCUGCAGAACAAAGCAACAGAAUGAAAAUAUAUUGUCUGGUGAAGUAAGAGAAGUCUGCAUGGCUAUUUCCUCAUGGUUUCUCUAUGCCUAUGAUGUGCUGUGAAGUUGAUUCCAACUUACAGCAACGCUCGUAGAGUUUCCAAGCACCAGAGCUCCUCCAGACAUAGGAGACUACAGCUUCCAGCAUCUCCCUUGACCGAUGUGGCUGGGGAUGAUGGGAGAAGUUGUAAUGUAACACACCCAGAGGUCAUCAAGUGCAGUGAAGGGGCUUGAACAAUAGCAGACCAUGAGUAUAAAUUAACAUCUGGAGGUUCCAGCCUACCUGCAAUGUGAGUCACCUCCAACUGUUGGAGGAGAAUGUGAACAAAGGAGAUGAAUAAAAAGUCUGAGCUGUGCCUGGCAGAGACAGCAUCUGGGAGGAUUUGUUGAGAGCACUGCUGGCAUUGCCUUGAGAUUAUCACUAUCUCUCUAUACAUUUUAAGAAAAAUCAAGAAAAGCCGCAUAGUCAUAUAAACAAUGCAGAUACAGGAACAGUUGACUUAUGCAUUUUUUUCCAGAGCUUGUUCAGCUGAUAUAGUUGCAAGGAGGUCAAAGAUAUUAUAAGUAAGAGCAUUUUAUUGCACUUGUUAUGCACAAAAUAGUUCUUUAAGAUAUUCUCUAUGUUGCUUUUGCUAAAACAAAUAUUUACAAUUUAGCUAUUCUAUUCUACUUUAUACAUAGUGUUUCAAGCUCCUGCCUGAAUAUUACUUUUCACUCGUUGACAUUUCACUUUAACGGAAAGCCCUGUGUAAGCAAUGAGUUGGCUCUUAUUUAGAGUCAUUUCAUUGAAAUCAGUGGAUAUGUUUAAGGAAGAUUUAUACAUGUAUUUCCCAUAUAUUUUAAGCUUAUGAUUAUUAAUUACUUUUUAUUGGGUUAUCUUGUUCUUGUUGUUGCUCCUAUUUCACCUGGCCCCUUUAUUAAGAAAAAUCAGCCAUGUUCUCCUGAAAGGCCAGCAAUUACUACCAUUAAAAAAGGAUCUAACUGACUAAACACUUCUUCCUGCUUCCUGUGGAUAAGAGGAUUAAUCUCAUUAGAAAAAGGGGGAAAGAUGUUUAUAUCUGCUUUUGCACAUAUUGGUCUUAAUAAGAAUGGAAUUGUUUCUGGUCAGAUCAUUAUUUAGGGUUUUGUUCAGUGCUGAUCCAUAACACUGAAGGGUGCAGGAACCGAAUAUGUGCAGUGGUUCUUAACCUUGGGUUACUCAGGUGUUUUUGGACUGCAACUCCC
Molecule: non-coding RNA, 1402 nt
Organism: Pogona vitticeps (central bearded dragon)
Lineage: Eukaryota; Metazoa; Chordata; Lepidosauria; Squamata; Agamidae
Source: RefSeq, a predicted model, not a curated record